This 377-nucleotide ribosomal RNA is filed under the name uncultured organism. Its description in RNAcentral is "partial 16S ribosomal RNA". It matches the Rfam family "Bacterial small subunit ribosomal RNA", at positions 527 to 895 of the family's 1533-position model. The record is from RNAcentral.
GGAAGGUGCAAGCGUUAAUCGGAAUUACUGGGCGUAAAGCGCGCGUAGGCGGCUAGAUAAGUCGGGUGUGAAAGCCCGUGGGCUCAACCGUGGGAACUGCAUUCGAUACUGUCUAGCUAGAGUGUGGUAGAGGGAGGCGGAAUUCCGCAUGUAGCGGUAGAAAUGCGUAGAGAUGCGGAGGAACACCAAUGGCGAAGGCAGCCUUCUGGACCAACACUGACGCUGAGGCGCGAAAGCGUGGGGGGAGCAAACAGGAUUAGAUACCCUGGUAGUCCACGCCCGUAAACGAUGUCAACUAGCCGUUGGGAGCCAUUUUGGCUCUUGGUGGCGCAGCUUAACGCGAUAAGUUGACCGCCUGGGGAGUACGGUCGCAGAUU